Molecule: ribosomal RNA, 447 nt
Filed under: uncultured bacterium
Lineage: Bacteria
Description: partial 16S ribosomal RNA
Rfam family: Bacterial small subunit ribosomal RNA
Source: RNAcentral
CCAGACUCCUACGGGAGGCAGCAGUCGGGAAUAUUGCGCAAUGGAGGAAACUCUGACGCAGUGACGCCGCGUAUAGGAAGAAGUUUUUCGGAAUGUAAACUAUUGUCGUUAGGGAAGAGAAAGGACAGUACCUAAGGAGGAAGCUCCGGCUAACUACGUGCCAGCAGCCGCGGUAAUACGUAGGGAGCGAGCGUUAUCCGGAUUUACUGGGUGUAAAGGGCGCGUAGGCGGGAUGGCAAGCCAGAUGUGAAAUCCAAGGGCUCAACCCUUGAACUGCAUUUGAAACUGUCGUUCUUGAGUACUGGAGAGGUUGACGGAAUUCCUAGUGUAGCGGUGAAAUGCGUAGAUAUUAGGAGGAACACCAGUGGCGAAGGCGGUCAACUGGACAGCAACUGACGCUGAGGCGCGAAAGCGUGGGGAGCAAACAGGAUUAGAUACCCGAGUAUA